AAUCACCAGCAAGGCCGAUUGCCACCGUUGCUCGGACUUAGCGCGGGGCCUCCUCCACCGCGUGAUGCGGAUGCGCUGCGGAGAGCCGGGCCGAGGGCGUCGUCGCCGCCGCGCUUUGCGUCUCGUGGCCUGCCACCAUGCGGUCUGAGGACCACGCCGCUGGCGUCCGGGAGAGGCUCUAGCCUGCCUCGCUGUAGAUGAGGUCGAGCCAUGGUUGUCGGGCGUCGCAUGGUCGUCGCUGGUACGCAGGAAGUCGCCACCUCCGUGCCCGCUGGUCGCCACAGCAGGAGCGGAGCGGGUGGAGACGCGGGGCCCAAGGACCUCGCCGCCACGCCUUGUCGUCGUUGGUGAGGAAAUAUGCAGUUCUUUCUCCUGUACUUCUUGUUUGCGAUUCACAAAAUACAAGUAGUUAUUAGAUCUUGGAUUGAUUGCAAGAAAACAAAGACAAAUUGAACAAUGUCCUGAUCCAGUUUUCCUCAAGAUUGCCGGAGUUGCUUGGUGCCGUUCGUCGCUUGAGGCCGACGGGUAGCGCGGGUAGGGCCAAGCAUGAGGGUGGCAUCGCAGGUGGGCUGUCGGGCAGUCCGUGGUGUGCCACGGAUAGGCAUAUGAGGACUCCGUCGCCGGGCGAGCGUCGCAAGCUGGCCAUUUUGCCUCCAGAUGCGGGAGAAGUGCCCUCGGCGCCUUGCCGCCGUUAAGACGCCUCCCCAUCGUUUUCUUCUUGUUCCGUGUGGCUAUUUCUCAGCAGAGAGCAAAAGUGCGUGAUAACGUGUUUUGAGUGAAAAGUAAAGAACAGGAGAGUUUGAAUGAAAGAUGAUCCAUCAGUCUUUAUUGAUGAUAGAAGUGGGGUAUUUAUACCCGGGCAGAAGUACACAUGUUACUUGAGAGUCAAGUAAACUCAAAGUUACUUGAGAGCCAAGAAAUUACAUAGUUGCCUUGAGAGCCAAGGAAGUAUAUGGUUGCUUGAGAACCAAGCAACCUAUCUAACAAUUAACUUAAUCCUAUUAACUUAAUUAAUAAUCAACUAUUCUAUUCUUAACAGAUUUUUGGCAAAAGCUCGUUUGUGCUCCGGGUUAGCUGACAUGGCACAAAUUGUGGCUUAAUCAGAUGCCACGUUGGACUAUAGUUGGCCCCCUUUCAAUGUUCAAUUUAGUUGCGACGGGGGUAGCAAAUCAGAACUACCGGAGGGGAGAAAAAAUAGGGUUCAAGGACGGGCGGCGGCGGUGGCGGUUCAGGGAAGGUAGGCAAGCGCCGCCUGAGCAAACAACGAUGGCUUCUCCUUCCCCUCCUUCUCCUCCUCCUCCGGUUGAGUACUCCCUCCGAUUCGACGUACUCAGGCAGAGGACGCCGUCGCAAGGCAGUAUCUAGGUCGCCGGUGCCCGGAGAACCCGAUGGCAUACCCGCCGGCGAGGGAAGGCUACUGCAUGUCGCGAAAGAAGCCUCCCCGCUGGAUAUCUUGGAGCGACGAGAAUCCUGGAAUUAAUGAAGGUUGUAGGUAUUUUGCGUGGCAUGAUGAUCCCCACUUCUUCGGCAAGUACUUGAUGUUAGAUAUGCAAUGAGGAGGAUGAGUGUUGAAGUGAUCGACAUGCAUGGCUAGAACAGGGGCAGAGAAAUGGAGCAGAGAUUGUAUUGAGGCAACAAGUUCUGGAAAAGAAUGAAGAAAUUAAUUCAACAAGAGCUAGAUGCGAAAGGAUGGAGAGAAAUGAAAUGCAUAAUUGUGUGUUUUUAUGGCAUUAUCAUGUUAGUAGUUGUAUGUUUGUAGGAAUUGUGCUAGGUAGAGGAUCAUUGUAAUGGCUAGAUGAUGUGAUGGCUUGAUGAUGAACUGGUCUGUUUAUGUGAUGUAUGGUCAUUGUACUCAAUUUAUGAAAAUUAUGAAUGGAACUUCACAGUUUGUUUGGCAAA
Triticum dicoccoides is the source of this 1899-nucleotide long non-coding RNA. RefSeq lists it as uncharacterized. Lineage: Eukaryota; Viridiplantae; Streptophyta; Magnoliopsida; Poales; Poaceae. The record is from RefSeq and is a predicted model, not a curated record. The transcript has 2 exons.